RNAcentral lists this small nucleolar RNA (131 nucleotides) under Castor canadensis (American beaver). Its description in RNAcentral is "Small nucleolar RNA SNORA51 (ENSCCNG00000020725.1)". It matches the Rfam family "Small nucleolar RNA SNORA51". Rfam says of the family: ACA51 is a member of the H/ACA class of snoRNA that guide the sites of modification of uridines to pseudouridines. The record is from Rfam by way of RNAcentral. Lineage: Eukaryota; Metazoa; Chordata; Mammalia; Rodentia; Castoridae.
GGCCUCCUGGUGCUUGCCUCAGGCUAUGUUCCUUACACUGACUAUAGAAAGAUGAGGCAAAGUAAACCUGCCCCAUCUAUACCACAGCCCUGCUUCUGUGCCAGGUCUGUAUUGUAAAUGGGGAGACUACU